Molecule: ribosomal RNA, 254 nt
Filed under: uncultured bacterium
Lineage: Bacteria
Description: partial 16S ribosomal RNA
Rfam family: Bacterial small subunit ribosomal RNA
Source: RNAcentral
CACGUAGGGUGCGAGCGUUGUCCGGAAUUAAUGGGCGUAAAGAGCUCGUAGGCGGUGUGUCGCGUCGGCCGUGAAAACCUGCAGCUUAACUGUGGGCGUGCGGUCGAUACGGGCAUCACUGGAGUUCGGCAGGGGAGACUGGAAUUCCUGGUGUAGCGGUGAAAUGCGCAGAUAUCAGGAGGAACACCGGUGGCGAAGGCGGGUCUCUGGGCCGAUACUGACGCUGAGGAGCGAAAGCGUGGGGAGCGAACAGG